Myotis myotis is the source of this 2009-nucleotide long non-coding RNA. RefSeq lists it as uncharacterized. Lineage: Eukaryota; Metazoa; Chordata; Mammalia; Chiroptera; Vespertilionidae. The transcript has 3 exons. The record is from RefSeq and is a predicted model, not a curated record.
GCAACGGGCUUCUAGUAUAAUAAUAAAAGGGUAAUAUGCUAAUUAGACCAGACGUCUUCCAGACAUCAUUCCGGAUGUCCUUCCUGACGAAGCUGGGGCCAGAGGGAAGCCAGCUGGGUUCCGGAUGCCUGCAGGUGACCCAGGGGAAGCCAGCCCGGGUCCCAGUGCCGGAGGGAAGCCGGUGCUGGCAGCUGGGGGAAGAAAGGCCUACUCUUGCAUGAAUUUUCAUGCAUCAGGCCUCUAGUGACAUUAUAAUAGGAUAUUUAAGUUGAGGUGUCUGUCCUGCCAGUGUGGCUCAGUGGUUGAACAUGGACCCAGCAACUGAGAGGUCAUGGUUCAAUUCUGGUCAGGGCACAUGCCCAGGUUGUGGGCUCGAUCCCCAGUGUGGGGCAUAUACAGGAGGCAGUGGAUCGAUCAAUGUUUCUCUCAUUGAUGUUUCUCUCUAUCCCUCUCCCUCUCUCUCAAAAAAUCAGUAAAAAAACAUAUUGAGAUGUCUAAACAGCUAUUUUAUAUAUAUAAGUGCAGAAAAUAUAUACCCAAGCAAGAAUAACAAAUACAUACACAUAUAUGUCAUAGGCAUAUUAUAGAUAAAUUGAAACAUUGGGGAAGGAUCGUUGAUUAAGAAAAGUUACAUGUUCUCCUGGGAGAAGAUGCCACCUAGGCUUUCAUAGCCAGAGCCGAGCAGUCUGUGCUGGCUCAGAGCUUUGAAGGACAGGCCCAUGGUGUUGCCGGUCAGGAAUGGCCUCCACAGCAUGUCCAGGGGUUUUGUGAGGGGCUCAGGCAGCUGGUGACUUGAGUUGAAGACAGUGCUCACUUACUAUUCUAAAAAUCCUAGGGUCUUGAAGAAUUGUGCUACAUGUCCUCUGCCUUUGCUGUAUACAUGGAACAUCAAGCCUGGAUGACAGCACACCUGUUAAAGAAAGAAAAUGUAUGUCCAUAGCUGAGACCUACUGCUCAGAAUAAAAGAUUCCUUUCAAAAUAUUCCUGCUCACUAACAAGGCACAUGGUCACCCAAGAGCUCUGAUGGAGAUGUACAAGGAGAUCGAUGUGGUUUUCAUGACUGCGAACACAACAUCAAUUCUGCAGCCCAUGAAUCAAGGAGUACUUUCAACUUUCAAGUCUUAUUAUUUACAAAAUACAUUUUGUAAGGCUACAGCUGCCAUAGAUAGUGGUUCCUCUGAUGGAUCUGGGCAAAGUAAACUGAAAACCUUCUGGAAAGGAUUCACCAUUCCAGAUAUCAUUAAGAACAUUCAUGAUUCAUGGGAAUAGGUCAAAAUAUCAACAUUAACAAAGUUUGGAAGAAGUUGAUUUCAACCCUCAUAGAUGCCUUUGAGGGGGUCAAGACUUCAGUGGAGAGAGUAGCUGCAGAUAUGAAGACGUCAAGAGAACUGGAAUUAGAGCCUGAAUAUGGGACUGAAUUGCAGCAAUUUCAUGAUAAAAGUUUAAUGGAUGAGAAAUUGCAUCUGAAGAAUAAGCAACAGCAGUGGUUUCUUGGGGAGGAAUCCAUUUCUGAAGAUACUGUGAAAAUUGCUGAAAUGGCAACAAAGGAUGUAGAAUAUUCCAAAACUUAGUUGAUGAAGCAGCAACAGAGUUUGAGAUGAUGGACUCCAAUUUUGAAAGAAGUUCUGUGGAUAAAAUGCUGUCAAACAACCUCGCAUGCUGCAAAGUCGCUCAUGAAAGGGAGAGUCAGUCGCUGCAGCAGACUUCAGUACUGUCGUAUUUUGAGAAGUUGCCAGCCUUCAGCAGCCACCACGUCAAGGCAAGGCCCCUCCAUCAGCAGGAAGAUCGGGACUCGCUGAAGGCUAUGGUCAGCGUUUUAUAGCAAUAAAGAAUUUUUAAAUUAAGGUACAUGUAAUCCUGAGCUACCACAUUUAUGUAGUUACUAGAGGCCCAGCGCGCAAAAUUGUGCGAGUUCCCAGACCCGCCGCAGGACCCAAGACCCGCCAUGCCGCGAGACCGAGACCCGCAGCGCAGCGAGACCCAUCAAUGCACCUCCUGGUGACUGGCCU